Molecule: non-coding RNA, 5151 nt
Organism: Jatropha curcas
Lineage: Eukaryota; Viridiplantae; Streptophyta; Magnoliopsida; Malpighiales; Euphorbiaceae
Source: RefSeq, a predicted model, not a curated record
GGAGUAUUAAUUAAUUUGGCUAAACAGUGAGUUAGUAUAAACCGCCACAUCUGAUAAUUUCCCUCUCGCAUGGCGAAACUCGAGCACUGACUCGCUAACGCAACUCGGCUAACUGAACCAUGAAGUGCCGAUCGGUGGCGUGCAUUUGGUCGGCUACUCCACCGGUUCACAGAGUCACCGCCACCACCGCACUAAACCGGCCCCCGACUUUGUACACCGGUGGAUCAGAUGGCUCCAUUCUCUGGUGGAAUAUCUCUAAUUCGGAGAUUAAACCAGUUGCUAUGCUGUGUGGUCAUGCUGCACCAAUAGCUGAUCUCAGCAUCUGUUAUCCAGUGGUUGUUUCAGAAGAUGAUAGAGAAAUAGAUCAUUCAAGUAAUGCUGGUGCAAGCUCAAUUCCUGAUACUCGUGGUGCCUUGAUAAGCGCAUGCACAGAUGGUGUAUUAUGUGUUUGGAGUAGAGGCAGUGGACAUUGCAGACAUAGAAGAAAAUUGCCCCCUUGGGUUGGUAGUCCAUCCAUCAUUCGUGCAUUACCCACAGGCUCUCGAUAUGUAUGUAUAGGCUGUUGUUUCAGUGACAAUAUCCAUUUUUCUGAUCAUCAUUCUAUUGAUUCUCUUGAAGGGAGUGAGGUUUCUGCAGAUAAAUGGCCCCAGCAUAGAAAAUCACCAAAAUGCACUGUAGUAAUUGUUGAUACUUACAGUCUUGCUAUUGUGCAAACCAUUUUUCAUGGGAAUUUAUCAAUUGGGCCAUUGAGAUUUAUGGAUGUGGUUUUGUCGGGUGAGGAAGGGGAAAAACAUUCUGUUCUUAUGGCUGAUUCAUAUGGAAGGGUACAGUUAGCUUCAAUACUGAAGGAUUCCAAUCUAGAUGGUGAGGGUGGGAGUGACAUACAAAAAAAUUGUCGGUUGGAAGCUUGGGGAGAUGGGGUGAAUGAUGGAGGACAGGUUGUUUCAAUUGCAAGCCGUGGGAACCUUUUUGCUUUUGUUUUGAAAAAUUGCUGCAUAUUUAGGCUAUUGAACAGUGACACUACAAUUGGAGAGAUUUCUUGUCUGGACAAUGUCCUCUCAGUCGAAGGCAAUUCUACUGAAUCAGGUGUACUUGGGGGGAUGUUUCUUGAAAAUGUUGAUGCCGUUAAAUUGCAGAAAUCCCAGGAAGCCCAUGAAAAUUUUUGUGAAAACUUUGUUGUGUGGAACAAUACAGGUUCAGCAAUUGUGUAUACAGUGUCAUAUUUGAAUGAUGUGUUUAAUUGUGAGCUUCUUUUUGAGAUUCCUCCUGCUUCUCAUCCUAAUGAUAUUGGACUUUCCAUUUCUUUCAUCCAGUCUAACAACUAUCUUCUCCGAAUUGAAUCAGUUUGCUUUGACCUUAAAGAUCCUUUACAAUGGACACCACAUGUGACAAUCUGGUCUUUACAUCAAAAACAUGAUAACUCAGGGAAGCUGUCUCAUUGCAAGAUUAUAGGAGAAAGUGAUUUAUCCGCUGAGUGGAUCUCAAGCUCCAGAUUUCUUAAUGAAAUCAAUGGCCACAGUGACAGGAAGAUGAAAAUAUCUUCUUCUCAAAGUUCUCUUUCAUGUUUGGCAAAUGGAAAUAAUAAACAUGCAGAUGAUGGAAGUUGUAGUUUUGCGUACAAGGGACAGACAGUAACUUCUUCCAUGGUUAUUUCUGAAGAUCUUUUUGUUCCUUAUGCUAUUGUAUAUGGCUUCUUUAAUGGUGAAAUUGAGGUUGUACACUUCGAUAUGAUUUUGGGAACAGAUUCUCAUGGCAGAAGUCUGUGUCCUGAUGUAGAUCCAGAUGUAUCCAGAAAAUAUUUAACGGGUCACACUGGUGCUGUACUUUGUUUGGCAGCACACCAGAUGUUGGGAACUGCCAAAGGAUGGAGCUUCAGUCAUGUUUUAGUUUCUGGAAGUAUGGACUGCACGAUUCGCAUAUGGGAUCUUGACACUGGGAAUCUCAUAACGGUGAUGCACCAACAUGUGGCUCCAGUGCGCCAACUUAUCUUCUCCCCCGCACAGACUGAACAUCCGUGGAGUGAUUGCUUUCUCUCUGUUGGGGAGGACUCUUGUGUUUCCCUUGCUUCCCUUGAAACUUUGAGGGUAGAGAGAAUGUUUCCUGGACACCCUAGCUAUCCUGAAAAAGUUGUGUGGGAUGGUGCUAGAGGAUACAUUGCAUGUCUUUGCAAGAGCCAUUCAGGGAAAUCUGAUGCAGUUGAUGUUUUGUACAUUUGGGAUGUAAAAACAGGAGCACGAGAGCGGGUCCUCCAUGGGACUGCUUCUCAUUCAAUGUUGGACCAUUUUUGUAAAGGCGUCAGUGCUAAUUCCAUAUCUGGCUCUAUAUUGAACAGAAAUACUUCAGUUUCCUUGUUACAUCUUCCAGUAAUUGAAGAUGGGAACUCUUCUCAAUCUCACAUAAAUUAUCUGACGAAGAGAGUCGCCUCAUUGAAUACAUUGUCAAGUGUAGCAAAUAUAUUAGAAUCCACUGCUUCACAAGCACAGGUUAAGAGGGGAAUUUCUGCUCCAACUACCUCUUCUUUCCUACAAAACAACAAGUAUCCCAUCAGAUGCACUUGUCCGUUCCCUGGGAUUGCUACUUUCACUUUUGAUCUUGCAUCGUUGAUGUCUCCUUAUCAGAAACAAGAUUCCAUUGUCAAUGACAGUUAUAAGCAGGAGAAUAACAGUGUGAAGGACCUAGGAACCAGCACACCAAGUCCCCGCCAUAUCUCCUUUGGUGAUAGUUCUGAUAAGAAUGGGACCUCUGUUGAUACUACAGAGGAGCAUGAGUGGAUUAGGUCACUAGAAGAACAAUUACUUAGGUUUAGUUUGUCCAUUUUACAUUUGUGGCAUGUAGAUAGUGAGCUUGAUAAACUGCUAAUGCUGGACAUGAAGAUAAAGAUACCAGAUAAUUUUAUUUUAGCUUCUGGUUUGCAAGGGGACAAAGGGUCUUUGACUUUGACAUUUCCUGGUUUGAGUGCUAUCCUUGAGCUAUGGAAAUCAUCAUCAGAGUUUUGUGCUAUGAGAUCCCUGACAAUGGUAUCCAUUGCCCAACGCAUGAUUAGCUUGUCUCCAUCCAGUUCAGCAGCCAGCAGGGCUUUAGCAGCAUUUUAUACUCGGAAUUUUGCAGAACAAGUUCCAGAUAUUAAACCACCUUUACUCCAGCUUUUGGUGAGUUUUUGGCAAGAUGAAAGUGAGCAUGUGCGUAUGGCUGCACGCACUUUAUUUCACUGUGCUGCUUCACGGGCAAUUCCUUUCCCUCUCUGUGGUCAGAGAGCACGUGAUCAUGCAAAACUUUUGAGAUCUCUCAAUGAAAUGGGGAAAAAUGAAGGCAAAGCUUCAAAAAUAGGAGGGAUAUCUGGGAAUGAUUUCUCUGACAUAUCACCUGAAUCACAAGGAAGCUCUCAAGAUGAAGAAGCAUUUGACAAGUCAACUGAAAUACGAGGAACCACUGAGGCAGAAGAAUCUAAAAUACUUGCAUGGCUCGAGUCUUUUGAAGCACCAGACUGGAUUUCAUGUGUUGGAGGAACAAGUCAAGAUGCAAUGACAUCCAAUAUCAUUGUUGCAGCAGCAUUUGCCAUUUGGUAUCCGAGUCUUGUGAAACCAAGUCUUGCCACGCUUAUUGCCCAUCCAUUAAUAAAGUUGGUGAUGGCAAUGAAUGGAAAAUACAGUUCUAUUGCUGCAGAGCUCCUUGCAGAAGGUAUGGAGGACACAUGGAAGGCGUGUAUUGGUCCUGAAAUACCUCGUCUGAUUGCAGAUAUAUUCUUCCAAAUAGAGUGUGUGAGCAGCUCAUCUGCCAACUCAGCUGGACACCAUCCAGCUGUACCAUCUUCCAUUGGAGAAACUUUGGUUGGUAUUCUUCUUCCAAGUUUGGCAAUGACUGAUGUUCUCGGGUUCUUAACCGUUAUAGAAAGCCAAAUUUGGUCUACUGCAUCUGAUUCACCUGUUCAUCUGGUCUCUCUGACAACUCUAAUCAGGGUUGUGCGUGGUUCUCCAAGAUGCUUUGCCCAAUACCUUGACAAGGUGGUUAACUACAUAUUACACACUAUGGACCCUGGUAACUCAGUCAUGCGCAAAACUUGCCUUCAGAGUUCAAUAACAGCAUUAAAGGAAGUUGUGCGUGUAUUUCCAAUGGUAGCUUUUAAUGGCACAUGUACCAGGCUGGCUGUUGGGGAUGCAAUCGGGGAGGUCAACAAUGCUAGCAUUUCAGUGUAUGACAUGCAAAGUCUCUUCCAAUUUUUUUUUUCUUUUUUAACACAGUGUGACAAAGGUAAAGAUUUUGGAUGCAAGUGGGCCUCCUGGACUUCCAACUUUGCUUUCAGGAGCUUCAGAAACAGCAAUUACCACAGUGAUUUCUGCUUUGAGUUUUUCCCCUGAUGGAGAGGGGCUCAUUGCUUUUUCUGAGCAUGGUUUGAUGAUCAGAUGGUGGUCAUUGGGAUCCAUGUGGUGGGAAAAAUUGAACAGAAACCUUGUUCCUGUCCAAUGCACCAAACUAAUAUUUGUUCCUCUAUGGGAAGGCUUCUCUCCCAAUUCCUCUAGGACUAGCAUCAUGGCAAGCAUAUCAGGUCAUGAUAGACAGACCAAUUUGCAGGAGAAUGCUAGAAGUUUGAAUUAUGCAGACAGUUUGAAGAUACUAAUUCAAAAUCUCGACCUCUCUUACCGGCUAGAGUGGGUUGGUGGACGCAAGGUACUUCUUUCGAGGCACGGCAUGGAGUUGGGAACUUUUCCAUUAUAAGAUGAAGCAAAGAGCAGCCUUUAUUGGACAUAUACUUUAGAGGCAAACUGCCAAAGCCUCGAGAGGCAGAUGGCUUGUAUAAGGUUUUCCUUCAAAUUAGCAGAGGUUAUAUAGCAAUCACAGUAAAGAAUUUCUUUUAGGCAGGCAGAUUUUCAUCAUUGUAUGAUUUGUACUUUCAGUUUCAUCUUUCAAGUCCGAUCUCUAAUAUAGGAGAUACAUCAUACAUACUUUGGCAGUGUUGUAUCCUUUAUCACUCUUAUUUCUUUAUUUGGGUUUUUGAGAGGUGGGUAUUGAAAAUGAUUGGAAAAGGAGAAUUUUGCAGUCAUAUAUACCUUCAUAGUUGCUCUGAGAGAUUUUUUGUUUAUUAUUAUAAAACUAUGUACUCACAUACAUAUGUAAGGAUUUAUGAAAAAAUUAUGGAGGAUAUGUAUAACAUAA